Molecule: non-coding RNA, 214 nt
Filed under: Oleiagrimonas soli
Lineage: Bacteria; Pseudomonadati; Pseudomonadota; Gammaproteobacteria; Lysobacterales; Rhodanobacteraceae
Also listed under: 1 other name
Source: RNAcentral
CCAUAUCUUGGGUUCGUCGGUGUUCGCCUCGCGGCGGACACAAUAGGGAAUCCGGUGCAAAUCCGGAGCUGCCCCGCAGCGGUAAGCGGUAUCGAACGCCUUGAUGGGAUCACUCCCACGCACUGGGUCGCUGUACCCGGGAAGCGAAGGCCAGUAGGUGAGUCGCACGACUCGAGCCGCAAGCCCGAAGACCUGCCGACACGCCAGGCCGUCC